GGAUGUGUGUCUGUGGGGGUAGAAGGGGGGAGGGGUGGCGUGCACGUGGUCGGUGUGGGUGGAUCCAAGCACGCGGUAGGGUAAGUAAGUAUGCAGCAACGGGAGGAGGGAGUGGGGGUGUCUGACACGUCAUCAGUGGGAUCAGCACACACAAAAAAUCAACCCCACUUCCUUAUUCUCCUUUGACCUAAUCACAAAUCAUUGCGUCCAACCUACCGGUUUCUAUCGCAAACACAAAAGGUGAUAAAUGUUAAUGAUUACUAGACUUUUUAUUUCCCCUCAGAAAUUCAAAUUAGACAAGCUGGGCGCGUGAGGGCCCGCCCCAGUGCGCGCGUGUGUGUGUCAUAAGAUAGCUGAGCAAUGUCAGGGUAUUAUGUAAAGAGCAGCCAUGGCUCGCCACCGCCCUGCCGGUGCCCACUGAGCAAAAAUAAAUCCACUUAAAUUAACUCUUUCACAAAUAAUAAAAAAAGGUGCGGCAAUUAUAACAUAACUGGUUAUUUUAUAAUAUUUUAAAACUUAAAAAAAAUGCUACCACUGCGUACAAAGGGGCUUAUGUUGGGUUUCUGCAACAGAUUAGUCUGAUAUUUAAAUGAACUCUGGAGAAAAGGAAAUCCUCUGCUGUGCCUCCAUUACACACAUGCGCGCGCGUACGAAAUCGUCUGUUGACGUCAUCGGUGCUCCGCGGUUUGGCGCCAGCCGUUGGCCCGCAGCGCAUGCAGACGGAUCAGGCGCCAGCCAGCCAAUCAGCGCUCAGAACAACAAGGCAUGGUGCUGGUCCACAUGGGCACCCGCCCGGCUCGAGGAGCAGCUCAUUUGCAUGGCGAGAGCGUGACUGGCCACCCCGCUGUCUCCAGAUCAGAGCCGUCAGUCAAACCCACAGGGGCGGGGCCUGGGAGCGUGGAAGUGGUUCCUCUCUGGAAAGGAGCAGCUGUUCUCAUUUUACCUCCGAUGAGAGAUUACAACACAAGAUAUAAACCGUCCUGAUGACAUGAAACCCACUAAAAUGAGCAGAAAACCUGCAGAUCUCUGCCCCAUUCUGCAGCACAGAGGCUGACACACCACAUUAAAAAGGCCGGAUGCUUUCUGAAAACACUCUGCUCUCAUAAGAAGGUGAGGCCCGAUCUGCUGUAAGUGCUGACCUUGAAACCUCUCAACACAUCCGUGACAUGCCAGCGUAUUUGGAUCUCCGCUGGCUGCUCGCUUUCUGCUCCCUCCAAGAACCGGACCCAGUGUUAUAUCUGAGAAAAAUGGGUGACCCAAAAGCAAAAUAAAUGAGAAUUUCA
Xiphophorus hellerii (green swordtail) is the source of this 1283-nucleotide long non-coding RNA. RefSeq lists it as uncharacterized. The record is from RefSeq and is a predicted model, not a curated record. NCBI's taxonomy places the organism in Eukaryota, Metazoa, Chordata, Actinopteri, Cyprinodontiformes, Poeciliidae. The transcript is spliced from 3 exons.